UUUUGCUUUGUUUUUGGUUUUGUUCUCACCUCCAAACCACUGCCCCUUUCCACCUUAUUUUCCCUGUUGCUUCUCUCAUUCUCUCUUCUCGAUAGUCAAUUCCACUCCUUCUAUUUCAUUUCUAAAUGAGUUUCCAUCAUCGUCCAAGCAACAAGUUCUUGUGUCUUUGUCGACCUAUUAUCACUCAUCCUCAUCUUAGAGAGGCAGCCACAAGUACUUCGACCUUCAUGGCCUGUCACUCUUCCUCAGAUUAUCGUCUACUAAGGCUAUUUCCUCAAUUCUUCCUCAGCCUAUAGUCGUCCUAGCUCACUGGAAAUGGGUGUUUGUUUUUGUAGAAAGUUGUGGGUACAAAUCUAUAUUGGGUUCAAAAUGGAACUGACUAAUUGCAAACCCCUAAUUGGGAAGCAAGAAUCUAAAAGGAGGUAGAACAUGGGAUGGAUCUACUCACCUGCAGUCUUUUGCUUGUCGCUGCUCUCAUCACUAUCAGUUGCAAGUCGCUAGCAGGGUUUUGGUGAAGUCCCAGAACAUAAAAGUGUGGAAGGAAACUUGGAAAGGUCGAAGGAUUGAGAAGCAUUAAAGAAACAAAGUACACGGGUCGUGUAAAUACAACCACAGACCCAUGUAACAUUCUGCCAAAAGAAAUCCAGAGAACCGAGGAAGAGACAAAGCACACGGGCCGACCCGUAUAACUUUUUGUGCCAGUACGAAACAUGCCCAUUCAGCUCCAGUAAGUUACA
RNAcentral lists this unclassified non-coding RNA (737 nucleotides) under Hevea brasiliensis (rubber tree). Lineage: Eukaryota; Viridiplantae; Streptophyta; Magnoliopsida; Malpighiales; Euphorbiaceae. The record is from RNAcentral.